RNAcentral lists this long non-coding RNA (814 nucleotides) under Ananas comosus (pineapple). RNAcentral describes it as "long non-coding RNA (ACOM_LNC010587)". The record is from RNAcentral. Lineage: Eukaryota; Viridiplantae; Streptophyta; Magnoliopsida; Poales; Bromeliaceae.
AGGGGACGCUAGACCGACUCUUUCUCUCAUCCCGAUUUUAUUUUCCACUCGUUUUCUCUCCCUCUCUUCUUUCUUCUUCUAUUUUUCUUCUUUCAUCUUCUCCUCUUUUCUUCUACUUUUCUCUUUUUUUUUUUUCUUUCUUCCUCCUUUUCUUUUCUUUUUUUUUUCUUCUUUUUUCUUUUCUUCCUCCUUUGUUUUCUUAUCUUCUUUCCCUUUUGUCAUUCCUCUCUAUUUUUCUUAUCUUCACUUUUUUUCUCCUCCUCUUCUUUCUUCCUUUUCUCUUUUUUUCGUCUCUUUUUCUUCUCCUGCUUCUUUUCUAAACGACCUUCUCAAUGAGCCCGCCUUUCACUAUAAGAAAGCGUCCACUACAAUAGAAUUAGAUUAUAGGACACAGUUUUGGGACAAUUUUGUGUAAGUAUCCCAUUUAUGCCAAAAUUUUUUAAAAAAUCUACUAAGGCCUAAAUAUAAAGCCAAUUCAAUCAAAAAUAAAAAGUUCCUCUACUCAACCAACUCUACCCAGCCCACUCGGUCCGAUUACAAAUAGAAAAGGAAAAAAAAAAAAGAAAAAUUGAUCACCAUCUUCCCUUCUUUUCUGCCGCCGCAGCUGACGAGGUAGAGUUCCGGCGGCUGGAGUUCGGCCGCGAGAAUCUCACAGGGACGUAGUGUAAGGACUGAGAUUUUUACAGUGCAACUAAACUCUCUGUUGAUGAUGUUUAUGUGUGUAAUUUAAUUAUAUAAGCACUCGUCAAGUUUCAGGAGAAAAUGAGCUAGAACGGAGAAGUUACGCGAUUAUUAGUUUUCACUUAAAGUGAAU